GUGUCAGCAGCCGCGGUAAUACAGGGGGCUCGAGCGUUAGUCGGAAUCACUGGGCUUAAAGGGUGCGUAGGCGGCCCGCCAAGUGCUUUGUGAAAUCCCCGGGCUCAACCCGGGAACAGCAGGGCAAACUGGCGGGCUUGAAGCAGGUAGGGGCUGGAAGAACAGUUGGUGGAGCGGUGAAAUGCGUAGAUAUCAACUGGAAUGCCGAUGGGGAAGCCGUCCAGCUGGGCCUGUCUUGACGCUGAGGCACGAAAGCGUGGGGAGCAAACAGGAUUAGAAACCCUGGUAGUCC
RNAcentral lists this ribosomal RNA (292 nucleotides) under uncultured bacterium. RNAcentral's name for it is "partial 16S ribosomal RNA". It matches the Rfam family "Bacterial small subunit ribosomal RNA", at positions 505 to 796 of the family's 1533-position model. The record is from RNAcentral.